Molecule: non-coding RNA, 26 nt
Filed under: Mus musculus (house mouse)
Lineage: Eukaryota; Metazoa; Chordata; Mammalia; Rodentia; Muridae
Source: RNAcentral
UACACAUGUGGGCAUCCAACACGUGA